RNAcentral lists this ribosomal RNA (1143 nucleotides) under uncultured bacterium. RNAcentral's name for it is "bacterial SSU rRNA". It matches the Rfam family "Bacterial small subunit ribosomal RNA", at positions 353 to 1482 of the family's 1533-position model. The record is from RNAcentral.
AGUAGGGAAUCUUGCGCAAUGGGCGAAAGCCUGACGCAGCGACACCGCGUGGAGGAUGAAGGUUUUCGAAUCGUAAACUCCUGUCAAUAGAGGAAGAAGGUAUUAUAGGUGAAUAGCUUAUAAUAUUGACGGUACUUUGUAAGGAAGCCCCGGCUAACUACGUGCCAGCAGCCGCGGUAAUACGUAGGGGGCAAGCGUUUUCCGGAUUUAUUGGGCGUAAAGCGCACGCAGGUGGCUUUUUAAGUCGGAUGUGAAAUCUCUUAGCAAAACUAAGAAAUUGCAUCCGAAACUGGAUUGCUUGAGGUCGGGAGAGGAGAGUGGAAUUCUCGGUGUAGCGGUGAAAUGCGCAGAUAUCGAGAAGAACACCAUUAGCGAAGGCGGCUCUCUGGAACGAUACUGACACUAAGGUGCGAAAGCUAGGGUAGCAAACAGGAUUAGAUACCCUGGUAGUCCUAGCUGUAAACGAUGGGCACUAGAUGUAGGGAGAUAUCGACUCUUCCUGUGUCGUAGCUAACGCGUUAAGUGCCCCGCCUGGGGAGUACGACCGCAAGGUUAAAACUCAAAGGAAUUGACGGGGACCCGCACAAGCGGUGGAGCAUGUGGCUCAAUUCGAUGCAACACGAAGAACCUUACCAGGGCUUGACAUUCUGGUGGUAGUGAUCUGAAAGGUGAACGACCCUUCGGGGAGCCAGAACAGGUGGUGCAUGGCUGUCGUCAGCUCGUGUCGUAAGAUGUUGGGUUAAGUCCCGUAACGAGCGCAACCCUUAUCCCAUGUUGCUAACAUUAAGUUGAGGACUCUUGGGAGACUGCCGGUGUUAAACCGGAGGAAGGUGAGGAUGACGUCAAGUCAGUAUGCCCUUUAUGUCCUGGGCUGCACACGUGCUACAAUGGUUUAUACAAUGAGAUGCGAGACUGUGAAGUGGAGCAAAUCUCAAAAAGUAAGCCUAAGUUCGGAUUGAAGUCUGAAAUUCGACUUCAUGAAGCCGGAAUCGCUAGUAAUCGCGGAUCAGCUAUACCGCGGUGAAUACGUUCCCGGGUCUUGUACACACCGCCCGUCACACCACGAAAGUUGGGAACACCAGAAGCCAGUGUGCUAACCCGUAAGGGAGGCAGCUGUCAAAGGUGGGCUUGAUGAUUGGGGUG